AAUCUAAACAAUGAGAGGUCACUGUUAUCAUCUUCAUUUUACAGAUGGAGAAACUCAUGGCUGAGAGUUUGAGAAAAAUCUCCCAAGUUUAUAAGUGAACAACUGUUGAAUACUCACAUUCAAACUCCUGGGUCUGACUUCAUAGUGAUGGCUUUGCCCAUAGACUUGUGCUGCCUUUGGAUCUAGAUACAGGUGAAGAAUGCAAUCCAACCACAGAGCUUCUAAGGAACAUUUUCUUGCUGAGAAGCACCAGCCUGAAGAGACACAAAAUUCAUGAUAGCCUUGAGAGACA
RNAcentral lists this long non-coding RNA (292 nucleotides) under Urocitellus parryii (Arctic ground squirrel). RNAcentral describes it as "lncRNA (ENSUPAG00010014319.1)". The record is from RNAcentral. Lineage: Eukaryota; Metazoa; Chordata; Mammalia; Rodentia; Sciuridae.